Molecule: transfer RNA, 66 nt
Filed under: Alouatta sp. (howler monkey)
Lineage: Eukaryota; Metazoa; Chordata; Mammalia; Primates; Atelidae
Also listed under: 11 other names
Description: tRNA-Trp
Source: RNAcentral
AGAAAUUUAGGUUAACAAGACCAAGAGCCUUCAAAGCUCUAAGCAAGUAAUUUUACUUAAUUUCUG